This is a non-coding RNA of Xyrichtys novacula (pearly razorfish), 957 nucleotides long. NCBI's taxonomy places the organism in Eukaryota, Metazoa, Chordata, Actinopteri, Labriformes, Labridae. The record is from the annotation of a GenBank genome assembly.
ACAUACGUACAGAUAUUUUAGAAGUGCCGCGGGUACAUUCCCAUUAUAAAUAAAAUCCACCCAUUGAGUCCUCAAAUCCUCCAAUGAGGGAGUUUUCAAAAGAGUUUUGUGCUCGUUUGUGCAGCCAACAACAGAGCAAAUGCUGCCUCUUUUUCAGAUCGUACUUUCGCCAUGGUUCUAACUGGAGCAAUGCGAGCGAGCGGCCGGGAAUAAUGGCGCUGUUUUGAUAAUUUUUGGGGCAGGGCAGUGGGCGGCUCCAUGGGCAGUACCAUCAACCUGCCAGCACUGACAUGACGUCAUGUCAGUGGAGUUUUCAGAACGGCCGGCUCUGAGCACACAGUUCCUAAAUACGGAGAUAACCAAAAAACGACUGGAUGGAAUUUUUCCGAACUUGGGGGGGAUUGUAGCGGUUUUCUAUCCCUGAUAUGCACCCCCCUCCCGUUAACAAAGUCAGUUUUUCAUGCCAUGGCCCCUUUAAAAGGAGUUUUUUUUCGUACGUGGCUCCACCUUGGACUCAUAUAUAUGAGUAUACAUAAGUGCGGCGAGCAUAAGCAAUAGCGAGUUAUUGUCAGUGAUCACACAGCUGAUUAAUUACCCCCCCCCCCACACACUCUCUGAGUCACUGAGUCCCCCCCCAAAAAAAAAAUCACACACCACCACCGAUACAUUGAUGCCUUUAAAGUGCAUAUUUAUUGGAACAUCAUAUGAGUUUAUAUGCUUAAAUGAGAUUGUAAAAUUUCAGGUGGAUAUCAUUUCAUUAUUUUCUAAGCGAUCUGAGUUUAUUCAUAUGUUCUGUCGAUAUGGUUUUUCUUUGUCUUUUAAGGAACAAAUGUCACUCAAAAUAAACCAAGAGUUAACUUCUUUGAACCAAAUGUCCUAGCUUGACAUUGACUCACAUGCACUUCAUUUGGCUUUUGGUGUGAAAAGAAUUAAAAAAAUAAAAAGAUAAAAUUGUUG